UAAUUAAAUAUUAUCUCAUAUAAUCCUAGUAAUAUGGUCUAGGAGUUUCUACAAGAUAACCUUAAAUUAUCUUACUAUGGGCAGAGACAUAUA
RNAcentral lists this non-coding RNA (93 nucleotides) under pig gut metagenome. RNAcentral describes it as "Purine riboswitch". It matches the Rfam family "Purine riboswitch aptamer". Rfam says of the family: Riboswitches are metabolite binding domains within certain messenger RNAs that serve as precision sensors for their corresponding targets. Allosteric rearrangement of mRNA structure is mediated by ligand binding, and this results in modulation of gene expression. A class of riboswitches that selectively recognises guanine and becomes saturated at concentrations as low as 5 nM. The record is from RNAcentral.